This is a long non-coding RNA of Pristis pectinata (smalltooth sawfish), 675 nucleotides long. RefSeq lists it as uncharacterized. The transcript has 5 exons. Lineage: Eukaryota; Metazoa; Chordata; Chondrichthyes; Rhinopristiformes; Pristidae. The record is from RefSeq and is a predicted model, not a curated record.
GAAAGAAGCAAAAGUGACUACAAGAGAUGCUCCAGAGCUGAGCGUAGGGCCAGGGAGAUGGCAUCCGCUGUAGACCUGUUUCGGCGAUAGGCGAAUUGCAGUGGGUCCAGCUUGUCUGGGAGGCUGGAGUUGAUGCGUGCCAUGACCAACCUCUCCAAGCACUUCAUGAUGGUUGCUGUCAGAGCCACUGUUCGGUAGUCAUUGAGGAUGCGACCGAUGUGACCAAUGUGCGGUGGAGAAAGUUCAGGGCUGAUUGGAUCUUUGACGAGCAGGAACACAUGAAUAUGCUGCCCAACCUGCUGAGUCUUUUAUACCUGCAGGUGACAAAAAGCCCACACCUCUGAUCCUAUCGGGGAAUGUACAGAAAUCGCGGGUCACCUCUGCCAGUAACCACGGAGUUGGUGCAAAAGAAUGUCUCCUGCCCUGGGUCCCAAAUGCAGCCUCCUCAAUCAACUAUAAACUAAAUGGAUAAGUUCCUUGUCUGCCAACUAAAUAAGCUAGUGCUGCAUUAUGCAAUAGGAAGUUCAUCACCGACACUCACCAUAGACUCAAUGGAAAUGAAUGAUUCAUUCAAAACCUUUUAUGAGAUUGCAUAUAAAUCUGAAACAGCACCAAAAAUAUCUGUUGACAUUUGCAUUUAUAGCUAUUAAAACAUAACGGGCAUUUUGUGAAGGU